Molecule: transfer RNA, 85 nt
Filed under: Felis catus (domestic cat)
Lineage: Eukaryota; Metazoa; Chordata; Mammalia; Carnivora; Felidae
Also listed under: 4 other names
Rfam family: tRNA
About the family: Transfer RNA (tRNA) molecules are approximately 80 nucleotides in length. Their secondary structure includes four short double-helical elements and three loops (D, anti-codon, and T loops).
Source: Rfam by way of RNAcentral
GCCUGUGUGGCUCAGUUGGUUAAGCAUCUGACUUUGGCUCAGGUCAUGAUCUUGUGGUUCGUGAGUUUGAGCCCCACGUCAGGCU